GCCCUUCUGGCCUAAUGGCUAAGGCGUCUGACUUCUAAGUGCAGUCAAAAUCUGCUAGAUGAGAAUCAGAAGAUUUUGGGUUCGAUCCCCAAGUCGGGCU
Molecule: transfer RNA, 100 nt
Filed under: Fusarium fujikuroi
Lineage: Eukaryota; Fungi; Ascomycota; Sordariomycetes; Hypocreales; Nectriaceae
Description: tRNA-Arg
Rfam family: tRNA
About the family: Transfer RNA (tRNA) molecules are approximately 80 nucleotides in length. Their secondary structure includes four short double-helical elements and three loops (D, anti-codon, and T loops).
Source: RNAcentral